GACGUAGGGGGCCAGCGUUGUUCGGAAUUACUGGGUGUAAAGGGUUCGUAGGCGGUGCGGCAAGUUGGGAGUGAAAUCUCUGGGCUUAACCCAGAGGCUGCUUCCAAAACUGCUGUGCUUGAGUGUGGGAGAGGCGCGUGGAAUUGCAGGUGUAGCGGUGAAAUGCGUAGAUAUCUGCAGGAACACCCGUGGCGAAGGCGGCAUCCUGGACCGGCAUUGACGCUGAUCAGCGAAAGCCAGGGGAGCAAACGGG
RNAcentral lists this ribosomal RNA (253 nucleotides) under uncultured prokaryote. RNAcentral describes it as "partial 16S ribosomal RNA". It matches the Rfam family "Bacterial small subunit ribosomal RNA", at positions 524 to 776 of the family's 1533-position model. The record is from RNAcentral.